UUCUAACCUAGAAACCUAACCUUAAACUUUGACACAGUUCAGCUAGGUUCUUCUCCUAACUAACAAACUAGUUUGUUUAUUUCUGAUUGUAUUGACACUUAUAUCUGAGGCUCCACAAGGAGGGUAUCAAAUUUACCUGAAUUGUCUACACUACAGUACCAUGUGUCCGGACAGAUAUGUACAUCACGUGAUUUAAUUAAGAUAAAAGCUUGGGGUAUUUUGAUUUUAGAUUUUUAACAUGAUAUACAAUAUUUCAGCAACAAAUGCUGAAGAUUUGGAUAUUCUAUUGUUUACUCUGCAAAUGAUUAUAGCUGGUAUAUGAGGUCAGGCAUUGCUUUCUUGACCCUCAAAUUUCAACGUCAACAUUCUAUAAAUAGACAAUAAAAAUAUUACCAUUUACGUAGGUUGAAAUAAAUUUAUUUGCUUAAUUUUAGAAGAAACAUGCAUUUAUUGUUGAUGAAAAAGUGACCGACAACCACUGAACAAAGAAAAUACUAAAUAAAGCAUUUUCGGGGCCGUCCGGGUUUGGUGGUUGUCUGGUUUUGGUGGUCCCAAACCAGUAUAUAAAACAAUAUUCAGAUUUACAUGUACGUAUAUAUAAAUUUAUAUUUAGAUAUAUAUUUUGCAUUAUUAAACAUGUAAAUGUACAUAAAUAAAAUCAAUACUUAAUUUCAGAUAGGACAUCCAUGAUUUACACACCAAUGGUCAUAUGAUGAUUAUCUAAUGUUCAGCUGUCUCUUGUAUCAAGAUGAUACAAGCCACAUUACCAAACCAUGCUGAUGGAACAAACAACGAUAUGAAGGGCGUUGCAUUUCGAAACCCGUUGUGCAUUUCUGAUUUCGGGAUCUACAAGUAAAUAUCAACAUGGCAACAGAUUCUACAACGUGCGUAUUUUGUGCGCAGGAUAUCCAGAAUGGGUCCCAAUUGUCACUCUCAGGGAGAAGGGAAGCAACAGUGUUAACCAUGCUAGCGAUCUGAGGAAUUCAAGUAUACAAGUAUACGAACAAUUACAGGCCAAAUUGUGCACCAAGACUGUAGAAGGGAUUUUAUUCACAAUAGAAACAUUUCAAAUAGUUCCAAUGUUAAGUGUAACCAAGUUAAAAGACCUUUAAGAUCAAAUGCUAACUUUGCUUUUAAGUGUAAUCGCUUGUUCUGUGGUAAGCCUGCUAAAGUUGCAUCUGGUAAACGUAGAUGUUCAUCCUGGUAGAAGUUUUGAUUUUCAGGAAACACAUCGUCGGAACCCACGGUAUACUACAUUUAAUAUUAUUACUGAUAUAUGUAUACGGUAAAUAGCCUGGGUUACCGAGGAUGCAGGAAACAAUACAACUCAAAUGUUCUGAGAGAAACAAUCUGUGGGGAAAUGUUGUUUUAAACAGGCUGUUGUCAGUUUUGGAAUUUCGUCAGAUUCGAAGAAUGUAUAUUUCAGAUCAGACAAUGAAAACCCAAAUAGUGUGGCAUAUAUAUUCAAAAGACACCAAAAUAUGAUUGGAAUAGAGAUUUGUUAUCUCCUACCAUUCCUGCACGCUUUCUCUGGUUGCGACAGUUCUUAAAAUAAUGUGUAAAAAUGAAGUGUUCCGGCAAAAUGCUGCAAUAUUUCAUUCUUCAACAAACAAAGAAGAAAUUAUUACAGGUGAUGAAAAUGCCAUGAGGAUAUUAUAUGAUGGAGCUAGGGAGAUAAAUUUGAACAGACUGAGAUUUCACAAAUUUGUAAUCAAACCCAUGUCAAGUUGAUCUGUUAUUCAAGUUCAAAGCAUUCCGCCUACGUCUGAUGCUGCGGCGCAACAUUCUUUACCGUCAUAUUUUCAAACACAAACAUGGAUUGGAAAUGAUAAAUUAGAUCCAACUGAAUGGGGAUAGGAACUUCUCGAAGGACUCUUUUACCCACAAAAUCUACACAACCCGCUGCUCCAGAUUUUCUUUUAAAUAUUAUCAGAUGCAAUUGCAAAAAAUGCCACUCUUAGAGAUGUACCUGUCGCAAACAUAACCUUGAAUUUUCGGUUGGUUGUGGAGAAUGUCAUUGUAUUAGCUGUUCAAACUGUCGGUCCAUUUCAGAUAUUGAUUUUGCAGACAUGGAGGACUAGAUCUUGUAUCGACGCAAUGCUCUUAGAACUAAGUUGUCAAUUUUUACCUGUUUUGUAUUGAAAUGUAUUCAUAUUUUGUGUUAUUAUUGGCAAUGUACAUGCAUCUGGCAUCUUGUUUUUACAUAAGCAAUAGAGGUUUCACUUUAAGUUAUUCAUAUAAAACUUUGCAGACAAAUAUGUUCUAUAUAUUGAACAGUCUCAUAUUCCUCGCGAAGUAAAUACAAAGUAGCUUUUAAUAAAAACAAAAGAUUUAUAAUAAUACUCUGUUUGCUUGCCAUAUGAAGUAGUUCUUUAGUAUUGUAGUUAUACUCUUUUAUCCAGGGUCAAAUUAUACUAAAAUUUAUGCAGGUGUCUAUCACUUGUACUAGCACCAAACUAUGCGCUAUAACAUAAAUAAAUGUAGUAAAAUGUUUGAAACAAUCUAACUCCAAAUGUACAAUAGUAUUGUAUAUUUAGAGUUAGAUUGUAUAUUGAAUACAUACUUAUCAAUGCUUUCUUAUAUUUGCUUGUGUUGCAACACACUGUUUUUUUUCUAUAAUUGUCAAUGUCAAAGUUCACCUAUUGUAAAUAAAAAUGUAUUACUAUACUGUCUGAAAUACAGAACGAUAAUUUCAAAUUUAUAGAAGUGGUCUUAUAUGUUGUAGACUGUUAUGUGUUAGUACAAGCAUGACAAUAACCCUACCAUAUACUUAAAGUGAUUUAAGUGUACAUAUCGAUGUGACAAAAAUGUAGUUCUUGUGAAUGAAACAGCCUGUAUAUUCGUGUUCUUUAUAUUUAUUAUCACUACAUUGUUGCUUGCCAAAUUAGGUAGCUCUUCGGUACAUUUGUACAUUUGUAAUAUAGUUUUAUUCCGUGUGUAAUGUCAAAUUUCAACAAGUGACACUUAAAUGUAUAUACUACAAUUUCUCCAUAGACCGGGCAUAGUAUUUUUCAUCUGUAGUUUUGGUAAUUGUUACUCGCUCUUAAUUAUACUUACUUGUUGUUGUUGUUCUUUUUUUUGCUUGAAA
This is a long non-coding RNA of Ruditapes philippinarum (Manila clam), 3088 nucleotides long. RefSeq lists it as uncharacterized. NCBI's taxonomy places the organism in Eukaryota, Metazoa, Mollusca, Bivalvia, Venerida, Veneridae. The transcript is spliced from 4 exons. The record is from RefSeq and is a predicted model, not a curated record.